GUGUGCCUUUCCCAAAUCAUGUCCAAUCAUUUACAUUGACCACAGGUGCACUGAAAUGAAGUCAUAAAAACAUCUCAAGGAUGAUUCAUGUGAACUGGGUGCACCUGAGCUCCAUUUCGUUUGUCAUAGGAAAAGGGUCUGACUACUCAUAACAAGAUCAACACAUUCCGCACUCACUUAUUGGCAGGCAUCACUCAGCCAACUAGGAUAGCUGUUGCUGCUUUAGUUCAACGCUAGUGUUCCUUCUAAACUAAUAACUAAGCUCAGAGCACUAGACUGUCUGAUGAGCAGACCGCAGGCUGUGAGAAUUUGCAACAACACCUACUCCUUCCCUACUCCAAAGCCUUCUGCUUUGCUCCCAGUUCCCCACUGUGUAGCUCCGCACGACACCAACUCUAUCAUGAAGUUUGCUGAUGACACCAAGUUUGUAGGCCUUACAAUGAUGAGUAAGUAAUACAGGAAAUUUAAAAAAAACUGCCACUGUGGUGCAACAACCUCUCGCUCAACAGCAGCAACACAAAGGAGAUGGUUGUUUUCUUCGGGAAUCAGAGGCGGGAACACGCUCCGAUUCAUAUCAAUGGAGCUAUUAAAGGGUGUCAGCAUUUUUAAACGCGUCAGCUUUUACAAGUUGUCUAGAUUGCGCAACAGCGGCUCUUCUCAACCAAAGAAUCUCAGCAUGGGUCCCUUACCUAUCGCUUUCACCAUCCCAAGAACUCAGCCUGCCUGCAGGACGGACGGCACCGGAACUUCACACCUGACAGCAAGACCAGGUGUUGCUGAGGUAUAGGCGGGCUGCAUACGAGCGAGGGCAAGGGACGCUGCAACCGCAAUCUGUCGAGGCUACGACACCUGCUGUGCCUCCGCUGAUUACUACAGAACUCCAGCAUUACAGCCAUUUGAGAAUGUCAGGGAAUGGAUGUCGUUGUGUACACAAGACGAGGAACACGCCACACGUGUCCGGAGAGAUAGCGAGGGGGGAUGAAUAAUCGCUAACUCUUUGUAAUAAGGUGACUAUGCCACCUUAGAUAAGGGUGUAAUGCCGAGAAUGGCUGACUUCCACCAGGCGAAUGGAGUUAACUCCCGGCUUGGAGAUGUGAUUUAACAGUUGUGCUGCCACAGUGUGAAAUAAAGGGAAUGAGCUUCAGCCUGGGUGACUUACUGAGCUACCUGUCUCUGAAGACUUCUUGGGCCUGUGGUAAAUGGGUCUUGUCAUGUUACAGAGGACUAAACCAUAUAAUGAUGCCCAGACUUAAAAAGGACAGUCUGGAGUCCCUGGUUAGAAUUCAAAUUUUAACUAUAAAUAAACAACUGUUUAUUAUAUACUUUAUC
Esox lucius (northern pike) is the source of this 1329-nucleotide long non-coding RNA. NCBI's taxonomy places the organism in Eukaryota, Metazoa, Chordata, Actinopteri, Esociformes, Esocidae. The record is from Ensembl.